RNAcentral lists this unclassified non-coding RNA (372 nucleotides) under uncultured Actinomycetes bacterium. RNAcentral's name for it is "uncultured actinobacterium contains 16S-23S intergenic spacer region". The record is from RNAcentral. Lineage: Bacteria; Bacillati; Actinomycetota; Actinomycetes.
UCCGGUUUGUCACCGGCAGUCCCAUUAGAGUGCUCAACUAAAUGUGGCAACUAUUGGCAAGGGUUGCGCUCGUUGCGCCACUUAAGGCAACACCUCACGACACGAGCUGACGACAGCCAUGCACCACCUGUACACCGACCACAAGGGGGGCCGUAUCUCUACGGCUUUCCGGUGUAUGUCAAGCCUUGGUAAGGUUCUUCGCGUUGCGUCGAAUUAAGCCACAUGCUCCGCUGCUUGUGCGGGCCCCCGUCAAUUCCUUUGAGUUUUAGCCUUGCGGCCGUACUCCCCAGGCGGGGAACUUAAUGCGUUAGCUGCGGCACUGAUAAGCAUGCUUACCAACGGCUAGCAUCCAUCGUUUACGGCGUGGACUAC